CCAUUAUAACCUCCAGAGAUACACAAAGACUAUUUGGCUGGCGACUAAACUGUAGUCCGGUGUAAACUAAACAUCGUAGCCCCCCACCUGCCAUAUCUUCUUCAUGAGGUUGGCCCCCAAGUCACUAAAAGACAAGGUUCUUCCCCAUGACUCCAUCCUACAGCAUUUUGCCAGUCUCAUUCAAAUUUUUAACAUUAUAAGCACAUUUAA
Long non-coding RNA from Sinocyclocheilus anshuiensis, 210 nucleotides. RefSeq lists it as uncharacterized. Lineage: Eukaryota; Metazoa; Chordata; Actinopteri; Cypriniformes; Cyprinidae. The record is from RefSeq and is a predicted model, not a curated record. The transcript has 3 exons.